UACGUAGGGAGCAAGCGUUGUCCGGAUUUACUGGGUGUAAAGGGUGCGUAGGCGGCUUUGCAAGUCAGAAGUGAAAUCCAUGGGCUUAACCCAUGAACUGCUUUUGAAACUGCAGAGCUUGAGUGGAGUAGAGGUAGGCGGAAUUCCCAGUGUAGCGGUGAAAUGCGUAGAGAUCGGGAGGAACACCAGUGGCGAAGGCGGCCUACUGGGCUCUAACUGACGCUGAGGCACGAAAGCGUGGGUAGCAAACAGG
RNAcentral lists this ribosomal RNA (253 nucleotides) under uncultured bacterium. RNAcentral describes it as "partial 16S ribosomal RNA". It matches the Rfam family "Bacterial small subunit ribosomal RNA", at positions 524 to 776 of the family's 1533-position model. The record is from RNAcentral.